Molecule: ribosomal RNA, 662 nt
Filed under: Inocybe cincinnata var. major
Lineage: Eukaryota; Fungi; Basidiomycota; Agaricomycetes; Agaricales; Inocybaceae
Description: eukaryotic LSU rRNA
Rfam family: Eukaryotic large subunit ribosomal RNA
Source: RNAcentral
UUGACCUCAAAUCAGGUAGGACUACCCGCUGAACUUAAGCAUAUCAAUAAGCGGAGGAAAAGAAACUAACAAGGAUUCCCCUAGUAACUGCGAGUGAAGCGGGAAGAGCUCAAAUUUGAAAUCUGGCGGUCCCUUGGGCUGUCCGAGUUGUAAUCUAGAGAAGUGUUACCUGUGCUGGACCGUGUACAAGUCUCCUGGAAUGGAGCAUCACAGAGGGUGAGAAUCCCGUCUUUGACACGGACUGCCUGUGCGAUAUGGUGCGCUCUCGAAGAGUCGAGUUGUUUGGGAAUGCAGCUCAAAAUGGGUGGUAAAUGCCAUCUAAAGCUAAAUACUGGCGAGAGACCGAUAGCGAACAAGUACCGUGAGGGAAAGAUGAAAAGAACUUUGGAAAGAGAGUUAAACAGUACGUGAAAUUGCUGAAAGGGAAACGCUUGAAGUCAGUCGCGUCGGCUGGAAAUCAGUCUUGCUUCUGCUUGACGUACUUUCUGGUUCGACGGGUCAGCAUCAGUUUUGACCGCUGGAUAAAGUCGUUGGGAAUGUGGCAUCUUAGGAUGUGUUAUAGCCCGUCGUCGCAUACGGUGGUCGGGAUUGAGGAACUCAGCACGCCGCGAGGCCGGGUCGUUUCUGCGAUCACGUUCGUGCUUAGGAUGCUGGCAUAAUGG